UACAGAGGUGGCAAGCGUUGUUCGGAAUUACUGGGCGUAAAGGGCGCGUAGGCGGCCAUCUAAGUCAGACGUGAAAUCCCCCGGCUUAACCUGGGAACUGCGUCUGAUACUGGAAGGCUCGAGUUUGGGAGAGGGAUGUGGAAUUCUUGGUGUAGCGGUGAAAUGCGUAGAUAUCAAGAGGAACACCUGCGGCGAAGGCGGGUUGCUGGGCCGACACUGACGCUGAGGCGCGAAAGCUAGGGGAGCGAACGGG
RNAcentral lists this ribosomal RNA (253 nucleotides) under uncultured bacterium. Its description in RNAcentral is "partial 16S ribosomal RNA". It matches the Rfam family "Bacterial small subunit ribosomal RNA", at positions 524 to 776 of the family's 1533-position model. The record is from RNAcentral.